Molecule: unclassified non-coding RNA, 1052 nt
Filed under: Hevea brasiliensis (rubber tree)
Lineage: Eukaryota; Viridiplantae; Streptophyta; Magnoliopsida; Malpighiales; Euphorbiaceae
Source: RNAcentral
GUUUCAUUUCAAGUCAUAGAGAGAGUGAAGGGCAAUUUUGGCAAAGGCAAUUUUAAUGGGAAAAUUGAAAAUUUUAUGUAAAACUAAGGGCACUCAUAAAUGGUGGCAAUUUGGUAAUUAUGUUGAAAAAAAGGACAACUAUAACGGAUGGCAAUCUUUUAAAUAAACCAAAAACCAAAGGCAAUGGCUGAAAGGCCUUCAUCUUCCUGCAUCGGGUUUGUAAUGGAACUAGCAACCUCAAAGAACACUAGCGUUGCCAGCAUGCCCAACAACCAUCGAUGGCCUCACUGUGGCUGUCUUCUACUACGUCAAGGCCAACAACAAUGUUGGAACACGCCAAUAGCUACACACAAAGCCCACUAGCCCCCACUCCCGUGAACUGAUCGUGUGACACCACAGCCAACUGCAAGCUUAUUGACAACGUUCAUGGUAGUGCAGUAAGGAGGCAAGGAUGUCGGCUACCCACUGCGCAUUCGAGGAGGCGCUCUUGCACAAUCAACAACUAGUAACCAUCCAGCCAAUCGUUUGGCUCCACAAACACCAAGUGUGUUAUUCAAAAAAACCAGAUCUGAUUUUCUUUUUAUUUCAAAAAUAAAAAAAAAUUAUAAAUUCAAAAUAUCAUAUAAAAUAAAAUAAAAAAAAUUAACACAGAUCUGACUUGCACAUUAUCGGCAUUUCCAAAUCUUAUCUGGAUGAAAAUUGGAAACAAGAAGAUUCAUACGGGAGGAGUAAAACAUAUACAUACCACACACAAACUUGAUUCACAACCACCAACAAUAAAUCAUAAUAUAAAUGUUUAAAGUUCACUCUGAUGCCAGCAUCAAAUGCACACAGCAGAACGAAUUUCAAAAAUAUAGCAUGAAAGAGCAAGCAAGUUUGUCAAGAAUAAUUUACCUUCGAAAAUUUCUUAUAAAUUCUUGAUCAGGAUAACAAAACUUUGGGCUGGGCUGCAGCAAACCACAAGCUUUGCAAUUGUUCGGCCUCUAAAAGCAUCCUCACAGACUGCUUAUGAGGAAAUCUCCAAGACCUUUCUUGGUGAGAGGAGUAAGAUG